UGGGGAAUUUUGGACAAUGGGGGAAACCCUGAUCCAGCCAUCCCGCGUGUGCGAUGAAGGCCUUCGGGUUGUAAAGCACUUUUGGCAGGAAAGAAACGUCGCGGGUUAAUACCCCGCGAAACUGACGGUACCUGCAGAAUAAGCACCGGCUAACUACGUGCCAGCAGCCGCGGUAAUACGUAGGGUGCAAGCGUUAAUCGGAAUUACUGGGCGUAAGGCGUGCGCAGGCGGUUCGGAAAGAAAGAUGUGAAAUCCCAGAGCUUAACUUUGGAACUGCAUUUUUAACUACUGGACUAGAGUGUGUCAGAGGGAGGUGGAAUUCCGCGUGUAGCAGUGAAAUGCGUAGAUAUGCGGAGGAACACCGAUGGCGAAGGCAGCCUCCUGGGAUAACACUGACGCUCAUGCACGAAAGCGUGGGGAGCAAACAGGAUUAGAUACCCUGGUAGUCCACGCCCUAAACGAUGUCAACUAGCUGUUGGGGCCUUCGGGCCUUGGUAGCGCAGCUAACGCGUGAAGUUGACCGCCU
This 526-nucleotide ribosomal RNA is filed under the name uncultured bacterium. Its description in RNAcentral is "partial 16S ribosomal RNA". It matches the Rfam family "Bacterial small subunit ribosomal RNA", at positions 355 to 874 of the family's 1533-position model. The record is from RNAcentral.